Molecule: ribosomal RNA, 107 nt
Filed under: Phormidium tenue FACHB-886
Lineage: Bacteria; Bacillati; Cyanobacteriota; Cyanophyceae; Oscillatoriales; Oscillatoriaceae
Description: partial 23S ribosomal RNA
Rfam family: Bacterial large subunit ribosomal RNA
Source: RNAcentral
GCACUAAGCCAGUAAGGUCACGGGCAGAACACCCGUUGAUAGGUUCUAGAUGGAAGUGCAGCAAUGCAUGCAGUCGAGGAAUACUAACAGACCGAGGGCUUGACCUC